Molecule: ribosomal RNA, 510 nt
Filed under: uncultured bacterium
Lineage: Bacteria
Description: partial 16S ribosomal RNA
Rfam family: Bacterial small subunit ribosomal RNA
Source: RNAcentral
GACGAACGCUGGCGGCGUGCUUAACACAUGCAAGUCGAACGAAGAGCGAUGAAAGCUUGCUUCUAUCAAUCUUAGUGGCGAACGGGUGAGUAACGCGUAAUCAACCUGCCCUUCAGAGGGGGACAACAGUUGGAAACGACUGCUAAUACCGCAUACGAUCUAAUCUCGGCAUCGAGGAUAGAUGAAAGGUGGCCUCUACAUGUAAGCUAUCACUGAAGGAGGGGAUUGCGUCUGAUUAGCUAGUUGGAGGGGUAACGGCCCACCAAGGCGAUGAUCAGUAGCCGGUCUGAGAGGAUGAACGGCCACAUUGGGACUGAGACACGGCCCAGACUCCUACGGGAGGCAGCAGUGGGGAAUCUUCCGCAAUGGACGAAAGUCUGACGGAGCAACGCCGCGUGAGUGAUGACGGCCUUCGGGUUGUAAAGCUCUGUUAAUCGGGACGAAAGGCCUUCUUGCGAAUAGUGAGAAGGAUUGACGGUACCGGAAUAGAAAGCCACGGCUAACUACGUG